ACUUUUUUAGUAUAAUAUUAAUAUGUUUGACUUCCAAUCAAAUAAUCUUGGGUAUAAACCAAGAAAAAGUA
RNAcentral lists this transfer RNA (71 nucleotides) under Piesma cf. maculatum. RNAcentral describes it as "tRNA-Gly". It matches the Rfam family "tRNA". From Rfam's summary of the family: Transfer RNA (tRNA) molecules are approximately 80 nucleotides in length. Their secondary structure includes four short double-helical elements and three loops (D, anti-codon, and T loops). The record is from RNAcentral. Lineage: Eukaryota; Metazoa; Arthropoda; Insecta; Hemiptera; Piesmatidae.